This 253-nucleotide ribosomal RNA is filed under the name uncultured bacterium. RNAcentral describes it as "partial 16S ribosomal RNA". It matches the Rfam family "Bacterial small subunit ribosomal RNA", at positions 524 to 776 of the family's 1533-position model. The record is from RNAcentral.
UACGUAGGAUGCGAGCGUUGUUCGGAAUUAUUGGGCGUAAAGCGUAUGUAGGCGGUUUAGUAAGUCUGCCAUUAAAGACCGGAGCUUAACUUCGGGGUUGUGGCGGAUACUGCUAGACUAGAGGGUAGUAAAGGAAGUCGGAAUUCUCAGUGUAGCGGUGAAAUGCGUAGAUAUUGGGAAGAACACCGGUGGCGAAAGCGGACUUCUAGGCUAUUACUGACGCUCAGAUACGAAAGCGUGGGUAGCAAACAGG